Molecule: ribosomal RNA, 229 nt
Filed under: uncultured bacterium
Lineage: Bacteria
Description: partial 16S ribosomal RNA
Rfam family: Bacterial small subunit ribosomal RNA
Source: RNAcentral
GAAGGGACCUAGCGUAGUUCGGAAUUACUGGGCUUAAAGAGUUCGUAGGUGGUUAAAAAAGUUGGUGGUGAAAUCCCAGAGCUUAACUCUGGAACUGCCAUCAAAACUUUUUAGCUAGAGUAUGAUAGAGGAAAGCAGAAUUUCUAGUGUAGAGGUGAAAUUCGUAGAUAUUAGAAAGAAUACCAAUUGCGAAGGCAGCUUUCUGGAUCAUUACUGACACUGAGGAACG